Molecule: ribosomal RNA, 429 nt
Filed under: bacterium
Lineage: Bacteria
Description: partial 16S ribosomal RNA
Rfam family: Bacterial small subunit ribosomal RNA
Source: RNAcentral
UGGGGAAUCUUCCGCAAUGGGCGCAAGCCUGACGGAGCAACGCCGCGUGAGUGAAGAAGGUCUUCGGAUCGUAAAGCUCUGUUGAUGGGGACGAACGUGCCUAAUGCGAAUAGUAUUAGGUAAUGACGGUACCCAUCGAGGAAGCCACGGCUAACUACGUGCCAGCAGCCGCGGUAAUACGUAGGUGGCGAGCGUUGUCCGGAAUCAUUGGGCGUAAAGGGAGCGCAGGCGGGCAUGUAAGUCUUUCUUAAAAGUGCGGGGCUCAACCCCGUGAUGGGAAAGAAACUAUGUGUCUUGAGUACAGGCGAGGAAAGCGGAAUUCCCAGUGUAGCUGUGAAAUGCGUAGAUAUUGGGAGGAACACCAGUGGCGAAGGCGGCUUUCUGGACUGCAACUGACGCUGAGGCUCGAAAGCCAGGGGAGCGAACGGG